Molecule: RNA transcript, 4025 nt
Organism: Argentina anserina (silverweed cinquefoil)
Lineage: Eukaryota; Viridiplantae; Streptophyta; Magnoliopsida; Rosales; Rosaceae
Gene name: cyclic nucleotide-gated ion channel 1
Exons: 11
Source: RefSeq, a predicted model, not a curated record
AAUGCCAUUUAAGACCCACAUUCUCCUCUACCUCACGAAUUUUCUCUCUGCCUUUUGCUCAAGAAACGAAAUUUCUCAUCCCUGAUCUUGGAGUUUCAGACCCUGUUAGCACUUCCUCACUGCGACUUUCAUCUUGGUUUUUUUUAAGGUUGGAACUUGGUGAAGAGAUCAGAUAGUCUUGCUCCUUGUUGACUUGGGAUUUGCAUGCAAAGAAUGCAGGGCCUGGAUUGGAGAGUUGACAAUAUUAUUGCUCACUCUUGCAUUGGAGAUUUAAAACACUAUCAACAAUAUCAUGCCUACUAGGCAAAUUUUCAAUUAUCAAGCUGGAAUCUUGCAGGGCCUGGAUUGCAUGACUUUCAAGAAGUAAAUAAAGCCAAUUAACCAGAAGUUCCUGAUAUGAAUCUGAAGGGUACUAAGUUUGUCAGGUUUGCUGAUUGGCAUUCAGAGGGAUCUACAAGCUCUGAGAGGGAAUUUUCAACUGAUGGACGAAAUCCAAGAAGAGCUAGGCCAUCUUUGAAUGAAGUAAUGAGUAGUGUUCGAAGAGGAUUCAAUAGGGGUUCAGAUAGGUUUAAAACCUCGAAAAAACCAUUAAGUCCCGGUAAACAGCCAGCAAAGGAGCAAGGCCCUCGGAAGAACAUUCUCGACCCUCAGGGAUCAUUUCUUCAGACUUGGAAUAAGAUAUUUGUGAUAUCUUGUGUCAUAGCUGUGUCAUUGGACCCCUUGUUUCUUUAUACUUCGGUGGUUGAUGGCACGAAGAAAUGCCUUGGAUUGGACAAAGACCUCCAGAUCGUUUCUUGUGUACUUCGUUCUUUCACCGAUGUUUUUCAUAUACUUCAUAUAAUAUUUCAGUUCCGGACUGGAUUUAUUGCUCCAUCUUCUAGAGUAUUUGGAAGGGGUGAGCUAAAUGAUGACCCUGUGGCCAUUGCAAAGAGAUACUUGUGUUCAUACUUCAUUAUAGAUGUUCUAGCUAUUCUUCCUCUACCACAGGUUGUAGUAUUUUUCAUUGUCCCUAUAAUAGAAACUCCGGUUCCAAUAUUUGCAAAGAACUUAUUGACGAUUGUAAUUGUUUGCCAAUAUGUGCCAAGACUUAUACGAAUCUAUCCACUAUACAAAGAAGUUACAGCAACUUCUGGCUUCCUGACUGAAACUGCAUGGGCUGCAGCUGCAUUCAAUCUUUUGCUAUACAUGUUAGCUAGCCAUGUAGUUGGAGCAGUAUGGUACUUGUUCUCUAUUGAUCGAGAGUAUAGGUGCUGGCGUGAUCAUUGUGAACUUGAUAUAGACUGUAAGACAUACCUGUACUGUGUUCCUGACAGGGAAGAAAACCAGACAAUUGUUGACAUGUUAAAAGCUUCUUGCCCCUUUACCAAACCUGAUGACAUUAAAGAUUCAUCCGUGUUCAACUUUGGGAUAUUUGCUGAAGCUCUGGAGUCAGGUGUGAUGGAGACAACUGACUUUCCAAAGAAAUUUUUAUACUGCUUCUGGUGGGGUCUGCGCAGCCUUAGUUCUCUAGGUCAAAACCUCAAAACUAGCACUUUUGUUUGGGAGAUACUAUUUGCUGUCUUCAUUUCUAUCUUUGGACUGGUGCUAUUUUCAUUGCUCAUUGGAAAUAUGCAGAAAUUUCUACAGUCAACAACUGUGAGAGUCGAAGAAAUGAGAGUGAAAAGGCGAGAUGCAGAACAGUGGAUGUCCCACCGAAUGCUCCCUGAGAAGCUGAGGGAAAGGAUCAGACGCUAUGAUCAGUAUAAAUGGCAAGAAACAAGAGGUGUUGAGGAAGACACUCUAGUUCGAAACCUUCCCAAAGACCUAAGGAAGGACAUAAAACGCCAUCUUUGCUUGGCUCUUCUAAAGAGAGUGCCAAUGUUUGGGAAAAUGGAUGAUCGGCUGAUGGAUGCCCUGUGUGACCUUCUCAAGCCAGUUCUUUUCCCAGACAAUAGCUUCAUCAUCCGCGAAGGUGAUCCAGUUGAUGAGAUGCUCUUCAUUAUGCGUGGAAACUUAGCAACUAUGACUACUAAUGGUGGAAGAACUGGCUUCUUCAACUGUGCUGAUCUUAAGGCUGGUGAUUUUUGUGGAGAAGAGCUUCUUACAUGGGCAUUGGAUCCAAAAUCCACUUCAAAUCUCCCUCUCUCAACUAGAACAGUGGAAGCGAGAACUGAGGUGGAAGCAUUUGCUCUGAGGGCUGAUGAUUUAAAGUUUGUCGCCUCCCAGUUUCGGCGCCUGCACAGCAGGCAGGUCCAACAUGCUUUCAGGUUCUACUCCAUGCAGUGGAGGACAUGGGCAACCUGUUUCAUACAAGCAGCUUGGCGCCGGCACUGCAAGAGAAAGCUCGACAAGUCAUUACGUGAAGCAGAAGACAAGCUGCAUUAUGCUUUUGCAGAAGAUGCUGGAACCUCACCAAGCCUUGUUGCCACCGUAUAUGCAUCAAGGUUUGCAACCAAUGCACUACGCGCCUUGCGGCAGAAGGGUGGGCAUGACACUAGACCUUUACCGGCAUUGCUGCCACUGCUGCCUCCGAAACCCACUGAGCCUGACUUUACUGAAGAACAGGAGGAGUGACUAUCCUUAAGGAGUUUUUCCUUAGUUCGAAAGGAGGCAGAGUAUGUUGUUCUUGGGUAUGGCACGAGGUUUCCUAAUUUUGAAAGGACGCAGAGGUCUCAUAAUCCUAUUUUUGGUGGGAGGAGGAGAACUAAAGGACAUGACCGAAAAACACACUUCCUUUACCCUUGACACCAAAACGAGUUGGGAGGACUUGAAACUGUUGUCAAUCUUCUUCUUCAGUCAAUUAUGGCUUCAGACUGGGCAGCACUGCCAAAUGACAUUUUGGAUUAGAAAGAUUGGAGUUGCUAUCAGACUAUGUGCGCUUCAGUGUUGUUUGUAUGUCAUGGUACUAUGUGACAAAGGGUCAUCAAAGUCGAUGUCUAGCUAUCAUGCCUAAAUGUCCAAUGCUUAUGAUUUCCACAGACAAAGAAGAUACAUGGAGUGUAUACAAUGUCAUGGACAACAAGAUCCUUGAUUUGCAAGUAAACCUGCCACACAUGCGGUUCUGUGGCUCGUCGAAAGGAUGGUUAGUAGCCAUUGAUUUGAAUUUCGUGGUAACCCUGAUAAAUCCAUUCUAUAGGGUUAAAGGAAGAGAAAGAGAAGAUUCAAUCAUCUAAACCCUCCAAACAUGGAUGAGAUGAGGAAACGCCAUGUUGAACAUUGGUCAAAUUGUGAUUAUUUUGUUCAGAAAGUGACACUUUUUGCUGACCCGGUGUUGGAUGCAGAGAAUUGCAUUAUUGUGCUCAUAUACAAGGGGCGAGUGGGUUUUAUUAGAAUCAGCAAGGACAUACAUAGCAUGGACUUAUACUGAAGAAAGGUUCAUUCACCCUGUGCAGAAAGUAAUUUCUGUUGAAGACAAAUGUUAUUGUGUCACUGCAAAAGGUAAACUCCCUAUGUUUUCAAAUUACCCCGGAGGAUUACUCAGACAUAAAUUUGGUAGGUAUGCAAGUCGAGGAGACAUACCGAGGGAUGUUCCGAAGGAUGUAUAUAGUGCAUGCAAAUGAAAAAGACUUGUUAAUGGUUCAACGAUUCAUGACUUUUGAUGAUGGUGAUCAUUGUGAGAACCGCCGAACCGAGAAGGCUCUAGUGUCCAGAUUUGAUUUUGUCGAAUGUAAGUUGACCAAGAUAAACUCCUUGGGCGAUGUUUCUCUUUUUAUGGGUGAAAACUCUUCCAAAUCAGUGUUGCAAUUGGCUUAAAGUAAUUCUGGAUGUCUACCGAAUUGCAUUUACUUCACACAUGAUCAUGACACCACACGUCGUUACGCAGGAGUACCCCAUUGUGAUUUAGUGUUUAUAGCCUUGAAUGUCAAAGUUUCUUGCCGUUAGACAACACACGUUGCAAACCUAGUGAAGAACACUGGACGUGGACGACCAAUCUGGGUCCUUCCAACCUUUAAAUUGUAAUAUGUUUCUCAUAGGCACAGAAAUCUUCUGUUAAUUGAAUGAUAUGAACCAAAUUCGAAGUUCCUUCGAAUAAUAUCAGUUUUAUA